RNAcentral lists this ribosomal RNA (481 nucleotides) under uncultured bacterium. RNAcentral's name for it is "partial 16S ribosomal RNA". It matches the Rfam family "Bacterial small subunit ribosomal RNA", at positions 28 to 507 of the family's 1533-position model. The record is from RNAcentral.
GAUGAACGCUGGCGGCGUGCUUAACACAUGCAAGUCGAACGAAGCACUUUAUUUGAUUUCCUUCGGGACUGAUUAUUUUGUGACUGAGUGGCGGACGGGUGAGUAACGCGUGGGUAACCUGCCUUGUACAGGGGGAUAACAGUUGGAAACGGCUGCUAAUACCGCAUAAGCGCACAGCAUCGCAUGAUGCAGUGUGAAAAACUCCGGUGGUAUAAGAUGGACCCGCGUUGGAUUAGCUAGUUGGUGAGGUAACGGCCCACCAAGGCGACGAUCCAUAGCCGACCUGUGAGGGUGACCGGCCACAUUGGGACUGGGACACGGCCCAAACUCCUACGGGAGGCAGCAGUGGGGAAUAUUGCACAAUGGGCGAAAGCCUGAUGCAGCGACGCCGCGUGAGCGAAGAAGUAUUUCGGUAUGUAAAGCUCUAUCAGCAGGGAAGAUAAUGACGGUACCUGACUAAGAAGCACCGGCUAAAUACGUG